GGCUGCCCGGCAGCAGUUCUUCAGUGGCAAGCUUUAUGUCCUUCUCUAGUAUCUAAAGCUGCCAGUUGAAGAACUGUUGAAUGUAGC
This 87-nucleotide microRNA precursor is filed under the name Meleagris gallopavo (turkey). RNAcentral describes it as "mir-22 microRNA precursor family". It matches the Rfam family "mir-22 microRNA precursor family". The record is from Rfam by way of RNAcentral. Lineage: Eukaryota; Metazoa; Chordata; Aves; Galliformes; Phasianidae.